AAGGGAGACCUAAUUCAGGUAGGAGACGAAAAAAUAGUAGUCCCAACCAAGAAUCAAUCCCAAAAGGUCGGAGCGAGGCGAAAUUGGCUUUCAAACUAGGUUCUGGGUUCAAACAAGACCUGAAUCAGGAACAAGGGCUAUUAGCUCAGGUGGUUAGAGCGCACCCCUGAUAAGGGUGAGGUCCCUGGUUCGAGUCCAGGAUGGCCCACCUGCACAGGUGGCAAAAACAAAGAAGAGAAGCGAGGAAUCAGCACCUUAUCUUAUCUAUAGAUAAGAGAGAAUGCUGGCUCUGAGUUCAGAGUCCAGAGGAACCUUGAAAACUGCAUAGAGCUAGGUGAAAAAGCCAAAAAAGAAGACCGCAA
Molecule: transfer RNA, 362 nt
Filed under: uncultured Microcystis sp.
Lineage: Bacteria; Bacillati; Cyanobacteriota; Cyanophyceae; Chroococcales; Microcystaceae
Description: partial 16S-23S ribosomal RNA intergenic spacer
Rfam family: tRNA (bases 135-208)
Source: RNAcentral